CCUACGUGAGGCAGCAGUGAGGAAUAUUGGUCAAUGGGCGCGAGCCUGAACCAGCCAAGUAGCGUGAAGGAUGACUGCCCUACGGGUUGUAAACUUCUUUUAUAAAGGAAUAAAGUGAGGCACGUGUGCCUUUUUGUAUGUACUUUAUGAAUAAGGAUCGGCUAACUCCGUGCCAGCAGCCGCGGUAAUACGGAGGAUCCGAGCGUUAUCCGGAUUUAUUGGGUUUAAAGGGAGCGUAGAUGGGUUGUUAAGUCAGUUGUGAAAGUUUGCGGCUCAACCGUAAAAUUGCAAUUGAUACUGGCAGUCUUGAGUACAGUUGAGGUAGGCGGAAUUCGUGGUGUAGCGGUGAAAUGCUUAGAUAUCACGAAGAACUCCGAUUGCGAAGGCAGCUUACUAAACUGCCACUGACACUGAUGCUCGAAAGUGUGGGUAUCAAACAGGAUUAGAUACCCUUGUAGUC
This 460-nucleotide ribosomal RNA is filed under the name uncultured bacterium. Its description in RNAcentral is "partial 16S ribosomal RNA". It matches the Rfam family "Bacterial small subunit ribosomal RNA", at positions 338 to 795 of the family's 1533-position model. The record is from RNAcentral.